CAAAAACAUCGCCUCCUGCAAAAAUCAACAUAUAGGAGGUCUUGCCUGCCCAGUGACUAACAAUUAAACGGCCGCGGUAUUUUGACCGUGCAAAGGUAGCGCAAUCACUUGUCUUUUAAAUGAAGACCUGUAUGAAUGGUGGAACGAGGGCUUAACUGUCUCCCCCCUCUGGUCAAUGAAAUUGAUCUGCCCGUGCAGAAGCGGGCAUAAUUAUACAAGACGAGAAGACCCUUUGGAGCUUAAGAUAAAAGACCAACUAUGUCAAAAGUCCUAAAAAAGACUAAACCAAGUAGCACUGGUCCCAAUCUUCGGUUGGGGUGACCACGGGAGAAAACAGAGCUCCCACGCGGACUGGGGAAACCCCCCAAAACUAAGAGAGACAUCUCUAAUGCACAGAACAUCUGACCAAAAAGAUCCGGCUAUAUGCCGACCAACGGACCAAGUUACCCUAGGGAUAACAGCGCAAUCCUCUUCCAGAGUCCAUAUCGACAAGAGGGUUUACGACCUCGAUGUUGGAUCAGGAUAUCCUAAUGGUGCAGCCGCUAUUAAGGGUUC
Molecule: ribosomal RNA, 555 nt
Filed under: Ancistrus leucostictus
Lineage: Eukaryota; Metazoa; Chordata; Actinopteri; Siluriformes; Loricariidae
Description: partial 16S ribosomal RNA
Rfam family: Bacterial large subunit ribosomal RNA
Source: RNAcentral